Molecule: ribosomal RNA, 393 nt
Filed under: uncultured bacterium
Lineage: Bacteria
Description: partial 16S ribosomal RNA
Rfam family: Bacterial small subunit ribosomal RNA
Source: RNAcentral
AUACGGAGGAUGCAAGCGUUAUCCGAAUUUAUUGGGUUUAAAGGGUGCGUAGGCUGUUCGACAAGUCAGGGGUGAAAGCCCAGUGCCUAACACUGGAACUGCCUUUGAUACUGCCGAGCUGGAAUACGGAUGCCGUGGGAGGAAUGAGUAGUGUAGCGGUGAAAUGCAUAGAUAUUACUCAGAACACCGAUUGCGAAGGCAUCUCACGAAUCCGUCAUUGACGCUGAGGCACGAAAGCGUGGGGAUCAAACAGGAUUAGAUACCCUGGUAGUCCACGCAGUAAACGAUGAAUACUUGUUUUCGGCGAUAUAAUGUCGGAGGCAAAGCGAAAGCGAUAAGUAUUCCACCUGGGGAGUACGCCGGCAACGGUGAAACUCAAAUGAAUUGACGGGG